GAUGAACGCUAGCUACAGGCUUAACACAUGCAAGUCGAGGGGUAACGAGAGGAAAGCUUGCUUUCCCUGUCGACGACCGGCGCACGGGUGAGUAACGCGUAUCCAACCUGCCCCCAACUAGGGAAUAACCUUGCGAAAGUAAGACUAAUACCCUAUAAUUUCCUCAGAUGACAUCUGACGAGGAAUAAAGAUUUAUCGGUUGUGGAUGGGGAUGCGUCUGAUUAGCUUGUUGGCGGGGUAACGGCCCACCAAGGCAACGAUCAGUAGGGGUUCUGAGAGGAAGGCCCCCCACAUUGGAACUGAGACACGGUCCAAACUCCUACGGGAGGCAGCAGUGAGGAAUAUUGGUCAAUGGGCGAAAGCCUGAACCAGCCAAGUAGCGUGCAGGAUGACGGCCCUAUGGGUUGUAAACUGCUUUUAUACAGGAAUAAAGUUAGCCACGUGUGGUUAUUUGUAGGUACUGUAUGAAUAAGGACCGGCUAAUUCCGUGCCAGCAGCCGCAGUAA
This 506-nucleotide ribosomal RNA is filed under the name uncultured bacterium. Its description in RNAcentral is "partial 16S ribosomal RNA". It matches the Rfam family "Bacterial small subunit ribosomal RNA", at positions 28 to 523 of the family's 1533-position model. The record is from RNAcentral.